UACCACCACUGUUACCGUGACCCAACAUUCAAAGUUAACUCAAGGAGAGAGGAGAGGAGUAAACAAGACCAUAUAAAGGGUACAUUACUUUUGUUUCAAACCAACGUAAGAUUUUAAAAAUACAAGAAGAAGAAAUGAGGACACAAUAAAAGAGAAAUUUCUUGCUAGUGAAUAGUGUAUUUGCUAAAGAACUGGCAUAUAAAUAUUUUCCGAUACGGUGUAUACAACUUUACAUUCUUCACAUUUCAGAUCAAGAUCAUUUUCUUACAUCACUCAACAAUGAGAACUUGAGAUGUGCAAAAAAAUCUUCAAAAAUUUUAAUGAUUUCAGUAAGAAUACACAUGCUAAGAACCUAAAAAAGGAGAAAAAAAAAAAAUUAUUCCCACAACGUGCAGAUAUUGUACCUAUUCAUCUCAGCAGGCAAAAAAAUUGGCUGUACUGUGCAGUAAAUUGCACCAAAACCAAGUACUAAGGAAUCAUCCGGGAAUUGCUUCAACUUGAAGUGUGGAGGUAUUCAAGAAUGAGGUUACUUUUUAGCCUUUGUGCUUAAAGUAUCAAGCUUAAAAAAUAGAGCUGAGAUGCAGAAAUUCACAAGCAUCUCCUGCUUAAGCAAGAGCUCUAUAUCAUGGCACUGAUCUUGUAGUAUUAGCUGCACUUGGGUAAUAAUAGGGUCUAGAUACCUGAAAUUUUGCUAUUAUGAGAGCUUUCUAGCUUUUUCAACUGCUUCAACAUAGUAAUACAACCUCCACAGAGUUGCAUUGUCCUCUUUCUCCAAAUCAACAAAAAUUUCAUCACAGUUCUGUGUUUCUAAUGACUUGCUACGUUGGACAAUUUCAGCCACACGGUUGAGAUUUUUUGGUGGUAACUUCUGAAUCAGUUUUUGAAGCUGCUUCUUCUCCGCAAGGGACAUGGGCCUGCAUGUAGACACCACAACAUCAAGAAGUUCUUCAAGUUGCUUCUCCAUGUGACCAAGCAUUGUGAAUAGUUGAUCAGAAUAUUUCUUGAUUGAUGCCUCAACCAGUGAGCUAUCAUUCUCUAGUAAAAACUGCAAAUCACCAUCCCCCUCUUCGUCCACUUUAUCAGCGGAUGUGUUUGAGGCCAAAUGAAAUUCACUUUCAUUUGUACUAGUAGUUCCACAAGCAUUACAUUGAAACUGAGGGAAAAAAGAGCACCAAAAUGAAUAUAAUUUGUGUGACUACAUGUAUCUGUUUGUUGCAUGAACAAUGAUGAAUGAAAUAUAUAAUUACAAAAGAGUGUUUGCCACCUUUCCUUCUUGGUCAGCUGUACCAUUCGGGUUGUUAGUACUGCAACAAGCACAGUGCUUCUGGACAACAGUGGACAUUCCUUUUCCAGGCAAAGCAACAUCUGAACAUUUAGAACCCAUACAUUUAGAUGCUGAACCCUCUCUACAUGAUCCAGAACUAACAGGACUAGCAGCUGUAUUGAUGUUGGUUGAUGAGGAAGAUGACUUCUUGAUUCUCUUAUUGGCAUUGUUCUGCUCAGUCUCACCUUCAGACAUUACAUCCUUAAGACCUGAAAUUAACUUUCUGUUUCUUACCUUUGAUUGGAGUCGACGCAUGGCUACAACAGGAUCAAGCAUCUCAUCAACUUCUGGUACAAGAGUUGCCAAAGUCUGCCGAAGCAAUGCAUUCAACCUUUCCUUUUUGCAAUCAGAAAGACCGGCUCCUAUGCACUUAUCAAAAAGAGAACCAGAAGAAGGCUCAACAUUAUUGCCCCUGACCUCCUCACAUCUGUUUCCAGCAAUUUCAGCCGCAAAAGGCAGGAAAUCCUCAUUUUGUGAUAGCAAUUCUUUUACUUCACAUGUGUAGAAAGUAAAGUAAUCUGGUCCUAAUUUAUUCAGGUCAGCUGAAGUAAAACCUCCUGAAGUCUCUGACAUUAUAAUCAAAGCAACUGCGCUUUAAUCUUGAGAUUUUAGCUUGAAUAAUUUCUUGACAUGAUACUAGAGUCUCAGACAAAAGAGAAUGAGAUUAAGUCCAGAUACCAAGCAAGUCGCUGAAACUUGGAGAAGAUGGCCGAUGGGAUAGGGGAAACGCCGCAAGCACAGUGAUUUAGGGCACCGAUUCAAAUUCCGCUUUUAACUUUUCAUAUAGGCAAGUUUAUGUGAGAUUGUAUAGGGGUAGCGUGCGCAUCGGUUGGGCCAAAACAGGUUGGAUCCAG
RNAcentral lists this unclassified non-coding RNA (2178 nucleotides) under Hevea brasiliensis (rubber tree). Lineage: Eukaryota; Viridiplantae; Streptophyta; Magnoliopsida; Malpighiales; Euphorbiaceae. The record is from RNAcentral.